This 501-nucleotide ribosomal RNA is filed under the name uncultured bacterium. RNAcentral's name for it is "partial 16S ribosomal RNA". It matches the Rfam family "Bacterial small subunit ribosomal RNA", at positions 29 to 523 of the family's 1533-position model. The record is from RNAcentral.
AUUGAACGCUGGCGGCAUGCCUUACACAUGCAAGUCGAACGGCAGCACGGGUGCUUGCACCUGGUGGCGAGUGGCGAACGGGUGAGUAAUACAUCGGAACGUACCUUAUCGUGGGGGAUAACGCAGCGAAAGCUGUGCUAAUACCGCAUACGCCCUGAGGGGGAAAGCGGGGGAUCGAAAGACCUCGCGCGAUUAGAGCGGCCGAUGCCUGAUUAGCUUGUUGGUGGGGUAAAAGCCCACCAAGGCGACGAUCAGUAGCUGGUCUGAGAGGACGAUCAGCCACACGGGGACUGAGACACGGCUCAGACUCCUGCGGGAGGCAGCAGUGGGGAAUUUUGGACAAUGGGGGCAACCCUGAUCCAGCAAUGCCGCGUGAGUGAAGAAGGCCUUCGGGUUGUAAAGCUCUUUUGUCAGGGAAGAAACGCCGGCUCUAACACAGUCCGGGAAUGACGGUACCUGAAGAAUAAGCACCGGCUAACUACGUGCCAGCCGCCGCCGUAA